RNAcentral lists this ribosomal RNA (585 nucleotides) under uncultured bacterium. RNAcentral describes it as "bacterial SSU rRNA". It matches the Rfam family "Bacterial small subunit ribosomal RNA", at positions 338 to 948 of the family's 1533-position model. The record is from RNAcentral.
CCUACGGGAGGCAGCAGUUGGGAAUCUUGCACAAUGGAGGAAACUCUGAUGCAGCGAUGCCGCGUGAGUGAAGAAGGCCUUUGGGUUGUAAAGCUCUUUUGUAGGGGAAGAUAAUGACUGUACCCUAAGAAUAAGGUCCGGCUAACUUCGUGCCAGCAGCCGCGGUAAUACGAAGGGACCUAGCGUAGUUCGGAAUUACUGGGCGUAAAGCGCGCGUAGGCCGUUGAGUUAGUUAAUUGUGAAAUCCCAAAGCUUAACUUUGGAACUGCAAUUAAAACUGCUCGACUAGAGUUUGAUAGAGGAAAGCGGAAUACAUAGUGUAGAGGUGAAAUUCGUAGAUAUUAUGUAGAACACCAGUUGCGAAGGCGGCUUUCUGGAUCAACACUGACGCUGAGGCGCGAAAGUAUGGGUAGCAAAGAGGAUUAGAUACCCUCGUAGUCCAUACCAUAAACGAUGAUUGCUAGAUGUUGGAAAUUUAUUUCAGUAUCGCAGCUAACGCAUUAAGCAAUCCGCCUGGGGAUACGACCGCAAGGUUAAAACUCAAAUGAAUUGACGGCUGAGACGNGCGAGACGACACGAGGAGAG